RNAcentral lists this long non-coding RNA (229 nucleotides) under Elaeis guineensis (African oil palm). Its description in RNAcentral is "long non-coding RNA (EGUI_LNC054669)". The record is from RNAcentral. Lineage: Eukaryota; Viridiplantae; Streptophyta; Magnoliopsida; Arecales; Arecaceae.
GCCCAUUUUUUUUCUUCAUGCUAGAAAUGUUCUCACAUGAGUUUUUUCUCAUAUCCAGAAGGUUUUGUCACCCCUUCUCUGGUUUUAUUUGGAUGAGGACAAGAUUGGUUCUUCAUUCAAAUUUAAAAGAGUUUGAAUUUGACUUGAAACAACCUUAAACCUAACCUUAUCUUUAUCUUGUCGCCUACACCCUUUGGAAGGCUGAGUUUUGUGUGACAAUUUGAGAAGA